RNAcentral lists this transfer RNA (71 nucleotides) under Camelus bactrianus (Bactrian camel). It matches the Rfam family "tRNA". From Rfam's summary of the family: Transfer RNA (tRNA) molecules are approximately 80 nucleotides in length. Their secondary structure includes four short double-helical elements and three loops (D, anti-codon, and T loops). Further hydrogen bonds mediate the characteristic L-shaped molecular structure. tRNAs have two regions of fundamental functional importance: the anti-codon, which is responsible for specific mRNA codon recognition, and the 3' end, to which the tRNAs corresponding amino acid is attached (by aminoacyl-tRNA synthetases). tRNAs cope with the degeneracy of the genetic code in two manners: having more than one tRNA (with a specific anti-codon) for a particular amino acid; and 'wobble' base-pairing, i.e. permitting non-standard base-pairing at the 3rd anti-codon position. The record is from Rfam by way of RNAcentral. RNAcentral also lists the same sequence under 2 other names. Lineage: Eukaryota; Metazoa; Chordata; Mammalia; Artiodactyla; Camelidae.
GAGGUCAUAUCUCAGUGGUAGAGCACUUGCUUAGCAUGCAUGAGGUCCUGGGUUCAAUCCCCAGCACCUCU